Non-coding RNA from Caenorhabditis elegans, 148 nucleotides. Lineage: Eukaryota; Metazoa; Nematoda; Chromadorea; Rhabditida; Rhabditidae. The record is from Ensembl.
AGGCGUGAUGGCCUCUGCAGGGUCUAGGACGGCCACUCUGUGUUCUCUUCUCUUGUUCACUCUCUCCAUUUGCCUCUCGCUUAUAUUUCCCAGUUGGUUGCGAAAAACCACCGAGCGUCGUGGCGGGCGCUUGUGAGUCAGCUUCUUG